UAGAUACCCCACUAUGCCUAGCCGUAAACUUUAAAUUACACCCACAUCGCCAGGGAACUACGAGCAAAGCUUAAAACCCAAAGGACUUGACGGUACCCCACAUCCACCUAGAGGAGCCUGUCCUAUAAUCGAUAAUCCACGCUUAACCUCACCAUUUUUAGCCUACCAGCCUGUAUACCUCCGUCGUCAGCUUACCUCGUGAGCGAUUUUUAGUGAGCUUAAUGUCCACACGCCAAUACGUCAGGUCAAGGUGCAGUAAAUAAAAUGGGAAGAGAUGGGCUACACUCUCUAACAUAGAAUAUACGAAAGACUACAUAUGAAAUCUAGUCAGAAGGCGGAUUUAGUAGUAAAAAGAGAUCAUAAAGCUCUUUUUAACAUGGCACUGGGGUGUGUACACACCGCCCGUCACCCUCUUCAAAGCUAAGAGAUAGUAUUUAACAUAACAUAGCAAACCAGAAGAGGCAAGUCGUAAA
RNAcentral lists this ribosomal RNA (473 nucleotides) under Sarcohyla sp. UTA A-57683. Its description in RNAcentral is "partial small subunit ribosomal RNA". It matches the Rfam family "Bacterial small subunit ribosomal RNA", at positions 779 to 1492 of the family's 1533-position model. The record is from RNAcentral. Lineage: Eukaryota; Metazoa; Chordata; Amphibia; Anura; Hylidae.